CGGGGUGUGGCGCAGCUUGGUAGCGCGCCUCGUUCGGGACGAGGAGGUCGUCGGUUCAAAUCCGGCCACCCCGA
This 74-nucleotide transfer RNA is filed under the name Catenuloplanes atrovinosus. RNAcentral describes it as "tRNA-Pro". It matches the Rfam family "tRNA". Rfam says of the family: Transfer RNA (tRNA) molecules are approximately 80 nucleotides in length. Lineage: Bacteria; Bacillati; Actinomycetota; Actinomycetes; Micromonosporales; Micromonosporaceae. The record is from RNAcentral.